CCCUUAGAUGUCCGGGGCCGCACGCGCGCUACACUGAAGGAAUCAGCGUGGCUUUCUCCCUGACCCGAAAGGGUUGGGAAACCCGUUGAAUCUCCUUCGUGAUAGGGAUUGGGGCUUGAAAUUGUUCCCCAUGAACGAGGAAUUCCCAGUAAGCGCGAGUCAUAAGCUCGCGUUGAUUACGUCCCUGCCCUUUGUACACACCACCCGUCGCUACUACCGAUUGAACGGUUUAGUGAGGGCCUCGGAUUGGUCUCGGCCCGCUCUUUACCGGGCGGCGCCGUUGGUCGAGAAGACGCUCGAACUUGAUCGUUUAGAGGAAGUAAAAGUCGUAACA
This 334-nucleotide ribosomal RNA is filed under the name uncultured eukaryote. RNAcentral describes it as "partial 18S ribosomal RNA". It matches the Rfam family "Eukaryotic small subunit ribosomal RNA", at positions 1470 to 1796 of the family's 1831-position model. The record is from RNAcentral.